CGGUUUGUUAAAUGCCCUGUGAAAUCGUUCUGCCUAACAGGACGGCGUGCAGGGUAGACUGGCAGACUUGGGACCGGGCGAGGUAAGCGGUAUUCCGGGGGGAGCGGUAAAAUGUGAUAAUCCUCGGAGGACCACCGAUGGCGAAGGCAGCUUACCAGAACGGAUCCGACGGUGAGGGAUGAAAGCUAGGGGAGCGAUCCGGAUUAGAUACCCGAGUAGUCCUAGCCGUAAACACUGUGUGCCAGAUGUUGCAUAAUCCCCGAGAUUGUGCAGUGUCGAAAUGAAGAUGUUAAGCACACCACCUGGGAA
Molecule: ribosomal RNA, 309 nt
Filed under: uncultured archaeon
Lineage: Archaea
Description: bacterial SSU rRNA
Rfam family: Archaeal small subunit ribosomal RNA
Source: RNAcentral